UACGUAGGGACCGAGCGUUGUCCGGAAUCAUUGGGCGUAAAGAGCGUGUAGGCGGCUAUUUAAGUCCUGCGUGAAAUCCUGCGGCUCAACCGCAGACGGUCGUGGGAAACUGGAUGGCUAGAGUGCGGGAGAGGAGAGUGGAAUUCCUGGUGUAGCGGUGAAAUGCGCAGAUAUCAGGAGGAACACCGGUGGCGAAGGCGGAUCUCUGGGCCGUAACUGACGCUGAGGAGCGAAAGCAUGGGGAGCGAACAGG
This 253-nucleotide ribosomal RNA is filed under the name uncultured bacterium. Its description in RNAcentral is "partial 16S ribosomal RNA". It matches the Rfam family "Bacterial small subunit ribosomal RNA", at positions 524 to 776 of the family's 1533-position model. The record is from RNAcentral.